AAAUUGAAGAGUUUGAUCAUGGCUCAGAUUGAACGCUGGCGGCAGGCCUAACACAUGCAAGUCGAGCGGUAGCACAGAGAGCUUGCUCUCGGGUGACGAGCGGCGGACGGGUGAGUAAUGUCUGGGAAACUGCCUGAUGGAGGGGGAUAACUACUGGAAACGGUAGCUAAUACCGCAUAAUGUCGCAAGACCAAAGUGGGGGACCUUCGGGCCUCAUGCCAUCAGAUGUGCCCAGA
RNAcentral lists this ribosomal RNA (236 nucleotides) under Pseudomonas aeruginosa. RNAcentral describes it as "partial 16S ribosomal RNA". It matches the Rfam family "Bacterial small subunit ribosomal RNA", at positions 1 to 235 of the family's 1533-position model. Lineage: Bacteria; Pseudomonadati; Pseudomonadota; Gammaproteobacteria; Pseudomonadales; Pseudomonadaceae. The record is from RNAcentral. RNAcentral also lists the same sequence under 4 other names.